GGCUGGCCCCCCAGACCCUUCCUCAGCUGAACGUCUCAGCAAGACCAGCCGUGUCACGUUCGGGUCAACAAAUUAAGAAGAAGUUGAAAGCCAAGGUGGAGGAGGCUCGGACCCCACGCUUCAGUCUAGGACUGUGUUCAUUUAAAGCAGGUGACGCUGAUGCCACCGGUCCAGGGACCACGUGCGGAAACGACAGCGCCCCCCACACAGUAGGUGCUCAGCGACCACUUCAAAGGCGGGGGAGGGGACUGUAGUUCAUGCUGUGUGGC
RNAcentral lists this long non-coding RNA (269 nucleotides) under Suricata suricatta (meerkat). RNAcentral describes it as "lncRNA (ENSSSUG00005022626.1)". Lineage: Eukaryota; Metazoa; Chordata; Mammalia; Carnivora; Herpestidae. The record is from RNAcentral.